This 1442-nucleotide ribosomal RNA is filed under the name uncultured organism. RNAcentral describes it as "SSU rRNA". It matches the Rfam family "Bacterial small subunit ribosomal RNA". The record is from RNAcentral.
AACGCUAGCUACAGGCUUAACACAUGCAAGUCGAGGGGCAGCAUGGUCUUAGCUUGCUAAGGCCGAUGGCGACCGGCGCACGGGUGAGUAACACGUAUCCAACCUGCCGUCUACUCUUGGACAGCCUUCUGAAAGGAAGAUUAAUACAAGAUGGCAUCAUGAGUCCGCAUGUUCACAUGAUUAAAGGUAUUCCGGUAGACGAUGGGGAUGCGUUCCAUUAGAUAGUAGGCGGGGUAACGGCCCACCUAGUCUUCGAUGGAUAGGGGUUCUGAGAGGAAGGUCCCCCACAUUGGAACUGAGACACGGUCCAAACUCCUACGGGAGGCAGCAGUGAGGAAUAUUGGUCAAUGGGCGAGAGCCUGAACCAGCCAAGUAGCGUGAAGGAUGACUGCCCUAUGGGUUGUAAACUUCUUUUAUAAAGGAAUAAAGUCGGGUAUGGAUACCCGUUUGCAUGUACUUUAUGAAUAAGGAUCGGCUAACUCCGUGCCAGCAGCCGCGGUAAUACGGAGGAUCCGAGCGUUAUCCGGAUUUAUUGGGUUUAAAGGGAGCGUAGAUGGAUGUUUAAGUCAGUUGUGAAAGUUUGCGGCUCAACCGUAAAAUUGCAGUUGAUACUGGAUAUCUUGAGUGCAGUUGAGGCAGGCGGAAUUCGUGGUGUAGCGGUGAAAUGCUUAGAUAUCACGAAGAACUCCGAUUGCGAAGGCAGCCUGCUAAGCUGCAACUGACAUUGAGGCUCGAAAGUGUGGGUAUCAAACAGGAUUAGAUACCCUGGUAGUCCACACGGUAAACGAUGAAUACUCGCUGUUUGCGAUAUACAGCAAGCGGCCAAGCGAAAGCGUUAAGUAUUCCACCUGGGGAGUACGCCGGCAACGGUGAAACUCAAAGGAAUUGACGGGGGCCCGCACAAGCGGAGGAACAUGUGGUCUAAUUCGAUGAUACGCGAGGAACCUUACCCGGGCUUAAAUUGCAGAUGAAUUACGGUGAAAGCCGUAAGCCGCAAGGCAUCUGUGAAGGUGCUGCAUGGUUGUCGUCAGCUCGUGCCGUGAGGUGUCGGCUUAAGUGCCAUAACGAGCGCAACCCUUGUUGUCAGUUACUAACAGGUCAUGCUGAGGACUCUGACAAGACUGCCAUCGUAAGAUGUGAGGAAGGUGGGGAUGACGUCAAAUCAGCACGGCCCUUACGUCCGGGGCUACACACGUGUUACAAUGGGGGGUACAGAGGGCCGCUACCACGCGAGUGGAUGCCAAUCCCAAAAACCUCUCUCAGUUCGGACUGGAGUCUGCAACCCGACUCCACGAAGCUGGAUUCGCUAGUAAUCGCGCAUCAGCCACGGCGCGGUGAAUACGUUCCCGGGCCUUGUACACACCGCCCGUCAAGCCAUGGGAGCCGGGGGUACCUGAAGUGCGUAACCGCGAGGAGCGCCCUAGGGUAAAACUGGUGACUGG